This 540-nucleotide long non-coding RNA is filed under the name Vigna radiata. RNAcentral describes it as "long non-coding RNA (VRAD_LNC007825)". The record is from RNAcentral. Lineage: Eukaryota; Viridiplantae; Streptophyta; Magnoliopsida; Fabales; Fabaceae.
UAAAAUGUUGAGUUUAUCUUUUGGUACUUCUACCUUUGUAUGCAAGGGAGCUUCCUGUGCGAUAAUGGUGUGGGGAGACUUGGAUGCUUCAUUUGUUUUUGUCUCGGUCGUGUGGAUAGGCCGUUGAGUGCUAUUGGUUAUGGGAAACGCCAAAGAAGUGUGCUCUGCCCCUGAAUGAUCUCCAAUGGGCGGUGUGUAUCCUGGUGGCAAACCAUAUAGUGGAAACGUGAAUUAUGUGCCCACGGCGUUAUGUAUUGGAGGGUGAGCAUUAUCCUCGGCCCUUGCGGACGAAGUCUCUCCUGCAGUUUUCAUGGCUUUCAAAGUCUCCAAAAUUUGACCGACUUGAUCCUUUAGUUGACUAAUAUCGGCCUUCACAGUUUCACGUUCCUCUUCCCCAUCUUCCAUAGCUUUGGCGUUUGCUCGAGUCCUAUAAGGAUGCCGUGGAAGUCCCGCCGUUGUUUUUUUAUUUAACUUUAAACUGUUUUUAUUAAUUUGGAUUAGACGAAAAACAAAUUAUGUGAAAAUGCAGAGAUGAUGCAU